RNAcentral lists this transfer RNA (72 nucleotides) under Bos indicus (zebu cattle). It matches the Rfam family "tRNA". Rfam says of the family: Transfer RNA (tRNA) molecules are approximately 80 nucleotides in length. Their secondary structure includes four short double-helical elements and three loops (D, anti-codon, and T loops). Lineage: Eukaryota; Metazoa; Chordata; Mammalia; Artiodactyla; Bovidae. The record is from Rfam by way of RNAcentral. RNAcentral also lists the same sequence under 1 other name.
UCCCUGGUGGCUCAGAGGUUAAAGUGUCUGCCUGUAAUGCAGGAGACCCGGGUUCGAUCCCUGGGUCGGGAA